CAGUAGCCGCGGUAAUACGAGGGGGGCAAGCGUUGUUCGGAAUUAUUGGGCGUAAAGGGCGCGUAGGCGGUUUGGCAAGUUUGGUGUGAAAUCUUCGGGCUCAACUCGAAGUCUGCAUCGAAAGCUGCCGGGCUUGAGUAUGGGAGAGGUGAGUGGAAUUUCCGGUGUAGCGGUGAAAUGCGUAGAUAUCGGAAGGAACACCUGUGGCGAAAGCGGCUCACUGGACCAUUUCUGACGCUGAUGCACGAAAGCUAGGGGAGCAAACAGGAUUAGAUACCCGUGUAGUCCCUGUCUCUUAUAC
This 301-nucleotide ribosomal RNA is filed under the name uncultured bacterium. RNAcentral's name for it is "partial 16S ribosomal RNA". It matches the Rfam family "Bacterial small subunit ribosomal RNA", at positions 509 to 807 of the family's 1533-position model. The record is from RNAcentral.